This 258-nucleotide ribosomal RNA is filed under the name uncultured bacterium. RNAcentral's name for it is "partial 16S ribosomal RNA". It matches the Rfam family "Bacterial small subunit ribosomal RNA", at positions 96 to 354 of the family's 1533-position model. The record is from RNAcentral.
UGGCGGACGGGUGAGUAACGCGUGGAAAACCUGCCGUAUACUGGGGGAUAACACUUAGAAAUAGGUGCUAAUACCGCAUAAGCGCACAGCUUCGCAUGAAGUGGUGUGAAAAACUCCGGUGGUAUACGACGGUUCCGCGUCUGAUUAGCUUGUUGGUGGGGUAAUGGCUCACCAAGGCGACGAUCAGUAGCCGGCCUGAGAGGGUGAACGGCCACAUUGGGACUGAGACACGGCCCAAACUCCUACGGGAGGCAGCAG